GUCCACGCCAUAAACGUUGGGCGCUAGGUGUCGGGGACCUUCCACGUCUUCGGUGCCGCAGCUAACGCAUUAAGCGCCCCGCCUGGGGAGUACGGCCGCAAGGCUAAAACUCAAAGGAAUUGACGGGGGCCCGCACAAGCGGCGGAGCAUGUGGCUUAAUUCGACGCAACGCGAAGAACCUUACCUGGGUUUGACAUGCAGGGAAAUCCCAUAGAGAUAUGGGGUCCGCAAGGGUCCUGCACAGGUGGUGCAUGGCUGUCGU
RNAcentral lists this ribosomal RNA (262 nucleotides) under uncultured bacterium. Its description in RNAcentral is "partial 16S ribosomal RNA". It matches the Rfam family "Bacterial small subunit ribosomal RNA", at positions 793 to 1055 of the family's 1533-position model. The record is from RNAcentral.